Long non-coding RNA from Sinocyclocheilus anshuiensis, 393 nucleotides. RefSeq lists it as uncharacterized. NCBI's taxonomy places the organism in Eukaryota, Metazoa, Chordata, Actinopteri, Cypriniformes, Cyprinidae. The record is from RefSeq and is a predicted model, not a curated record. The transcript has 2 exons.
GGUGGGCGUGUACAUGGGCGAGUAAAGUCAGUUCAAACUGUUAGAGGUUCAGUCUUCACACUCCUCACGCGUCUAGUUCACUCGCGUCCGUGAUACAUCAUCAGCGCACCUUAACGCAGGUGACGGGACACCCGGAAGAACACGCGCAUCGACUAUCACACGAGUCACUUGAGUUUCAAUCAACCCCAGAAGAGCCGAGCAGAUCACAGUCAUGUCAGAGCUCAAGAAGAACAAGUUGUUUAUGGUGCUGAUGGAUGUCGUGUGUGUGCUCGUGGAAUGCAUGAAACAAAACCACAGACCACAUGACAGACGGAACGAGGGAUCAGAAGAGAGCAGGAGAGAUGUGGGUGGUGAUAUUUGGAGAUGAGGGAAAGAAAGAAAGAAAGAAAGAAA